GCUUCUUACAUGACAGUCGGCUCAGCCUAUCAUCGGCCGAGGCGGGACAUCGCUGCGGCCGGUGAUAGGCUGAAGGCUCUGUGACGUCCCAACACCAGGAAGCAGCAAGAACAGCAGAGGGACCAUGAGGCCGGUUCCUUAGCAAUGGGGGAAUGGAGGAUGGAGUUUGUCAACUGAGCAAUUCAAGUGUGUUGUAGAGACAUGUCUAGGUGUCAGCGAUCUCUCACCAAGAGGUUGACCCAGAAGUAUCCUUUGAGAGCCUUUUUAUAGGUUUUGUUUUGCCUUUUUACAGAUUUUAGCCAUGUUGCAAAAUGAAGUGGCAAAGAGCAGAACAAACCUUAACCUUCCAUUGAUUUUUCAAUGUAACUUUCGUGUUGAAGACGUGAACGAGACUGAAGAAUUUAAUAAGUUGCCCUUCUGGGAAAAAAUUAGUGGAGAGGUCUUCAAGUUUAGCAGAAUGGCACUUUUUUUUCUUAACAGUCAAAUGUGUAUUAAGACUAAUUGAUGAAUAAAGUGCAAGUCUUGAAUUGAGUAAGCAUUAUAU
Hyla sarda is the source of this 544-nucleotide long non-coding RNA. RefSeq lists it as uncharacterized. The record is from RefSeq and is a predicted model, not a curated record. NCBI's taxonomy places the organism in Eukaryota, Metazoa, Chordata, Amphibia, Anura, Hylidae. The transcript is spliced from 3 exons.